UUCUACGGGAGGCAGCAGUGGGGAAUCUUGGACAAUGGGGGAAACCCUGAUCCAGCAAUGCCGCGUGGGUGAAGAAGGCCUUCGGGUUGUAAAGCCCUUUUAGCGGGGAAGAAAUCGGCUAGGUGAAUAAUCUAGCUGGAUGACGGUACUGCAG
This 154-nucleotide ribosomal RNA is filed under the name uncultured beta proteobacterium. RNAcentral's name for it is "partial 16S ribosomal RNA". It matches the Rfam family "Bacterial small subunit ribosomal RNA", at positions 337 to 484 of the family's 1533-position model. Lineage: Bacteria; Pseudomonadati; Pseudomonadota; Betaproteobacteria. The record is from RNAcentral.